This 493-nucleotide ribosomal RNA is filed under the name uncultured bacterium. RNAcentral's name for it is "partial 16S ribosomal RNA". It matches the Rfam family "Bacterial small subunit ribosomal RNA", at positions 27 to 507 of the family's 1533-position model. The record is from RNAcentral.
GAGUGAACGCUGGCGGUAGGCCUAACACAUGCAAGUCGAACGGCAGCACAGUAAGAGCUUGCUCUUACGGGUGGCGAGUGGCGGACGGGUGAGGAAUACAUCGGAAUCUACUUUUUCGUGGGGGAUAACGUAGGGAAACUUACGCUAAUACCGCAUACGACCUACGGGUGAAAGCAGGGGAUCUUCGGACCUUGCGCGAUUGAAUGAGCCGAUGUCGGAUUAGCUAGUUGGCGGGGUAAAGGCCCACCAAGGCGACGAUCCGUAGCUGGUCUGAGAGGAUGAUCAGCCACACUGGAACUGAGACACGGUCCAGACUCCUACGGGAGGCAGCAGUGGGGAAUAUUGGACAAUGGGCGCAAGCCUGACCCAGCCAUACCGCGUGGGUGAAGAAGGCCUUCGGGUUGUAAAGCCCUUUUGUUGGGAAAGAAAAGCAGCAGGUUAAUACCCCGCUGUUCUGACGGUACCCAAAGAAUAAGCACCGGCUAACUUCGUG